AAUACAUUUACUUUUUUCGACAUUUAAAGAGUGUUUGUUAGCCUUAAACCAUUCGUUCAGGUUUUCAAGUUCUUGAGUAACAGUGUUGAAUAAUAGACUAAUUUGUUAGAGUUUGUGUGGCUAAAAAAUACUUGCGUAUCAUCACCAAAAAGGACAAAAUUAAGUGUGAUAGAAGAUAAGUAGAUAUCGUUGAUAUAAACAAUGGACCGAGAAUUAAUCCUUGUGGGACCCCACAAGUAAUGUUUUCAAGUCGAGUUACAGUGUUGUUAUAUGAUAAAGCUUGUUUCCGAAUAUUAAGGUAAGAGCGAAACCAUUUUAAAUUGUUAUUUCUUAUUCCAUAAUUAUACAGUUUAUAAAGAAGAAUUUUGUGGUCAACAGUGUCAAACGCUUUUGAGAGAUCGAGAAAUACCCCCAAGAGUGUAUUAAUUGUUGUCAAAUUUUGCCGAACUCCAAACAGUUCAGCAACCGAACGAUUGCUGAUUUAAAAUAUAAGCAUUAAUUAUUAAACUCGAAGUGAAAAUCUAAAGUCUAGAGAGGGGGUGCAGUUGGUGCGCCGCACCAGGGCCCAUAAAAGUUUAGUAAAUGCGGUUUGCUCGACAUAUGUUAACCAAACAACAUGUGUUGAGCAAACUAUAUUCAGUCUGGAAAUGUGAUUACAUUGAUUAUAUUCAGUGAUACAUAGUGAAUAAUAUAUAGCAAUUAACAAUAUUCAGUAAUUAUUUUCGACAAAUUACAUUCAGUGUGCGCAAGAGAUUUAUUAAGAAAAUUGUGAACAUUUUUAUUUGCACGAGUCAGCUGUUCGGAAGACACAGUAAUUUGAUUAAUGGAAGCCGUAAACACCAUAACAAAAGUUUUCUUUGUAAACUACCAAAAAAUGGCAGAGGAGGAAUUAAUACACAAAGCAACUAGUUUUGUAAAGAAAUACCACUGUUGGUUUGGUUAACAUUAUAUCAAGACUGUCCGAAUGAUGGGUUGUUGUAGAUGACUGUAUAUGUACUUUUUUAUUUACUCUUUAUUUAAUUUUAUCUAUCGAUCUUAUGCUUAUUUGCUUAUUUAUAUGUACAUGAUGUUUGAGUUAAAAAAUAAUUAAUAUUAUAUUAAAAUAAACAAAUUUUAUAUUAAAA
Hydra vulgaris (swiftwater hydra) is the source of this 1124-nucleotide non-coding RNA. The record is from RefSeq and is a predicted model, not a curated record. NCBI's taxonomy places the organism in Eukaryota, Metazoa, Cnidaria, Hydrozoa, Anthoathecata, Hydridae.